This 2900-nucleotide ribosomal RNA is filed under the name Klebsiella pneumoniae. Its description in RNAcentral is "bacterial LSU rRNA". It matches the Rfam family "Bacterial large subunit ribosomal RNA". The record is from RNAcentral. Lineage: Bacteria; Pseudomonadati; Pseudomonadota; Gammaproteobacteria; Enterobacterales; Enterobacteriaceae.
UUAAGCGACUAAGCGUACACGGUGGAUGCCCUGGCAGUCAGAGGCGAUGAAGGACGUGCUAAUCUGCGAAAAGCGUCGGUAAGGUGAUAUGAACCGUUAUAGCCGGCGAUGUCCGAAUGGGGAAACCCAGUGCAAUUCGUUGCACUAUCGUUAACUGAAUACAUAGGUUAACGAGGCGAACCGGGGGAACUGAAACAUCUAAGUACCCCGAGGAAAAGAAAUCAACCGAGAUUCCCCCAGUAGCGGCGAGCGAACGGGGAGCAGCCCAGAGUCUGAAUCAGCUUGUGUGUUAGUGGAACGGUCUGGAAAGUCCGACGGUACAGGGUGAUAGUCCCGUACACCAAAAUGCACAGGCUGUGAACUCGAAGAGUAGGGCGGGACACGUGGUAUCCUGUCUGAAUAUGGGGGGACCAUCCUCCAAGGCUAAAUACUCCUGACUGACCGAUAGUGAACCAGUACCGUGAGGGAAAGGCGAAAAGAACCCCGGCGAGGGGAGUGAAAAAGAACCUGAAACCGUGUACGUACAAGCAGUGGGAGCACCUUCGGGUGUGACUGCGUACCUUUUGUAUAAUGGGUCAGCGACUUAUAUUCUGUAGCAAGGUUAACCGUAUAGGGGAGCCGCAGGGAAACCGAGUCUUAACUGGGCGUUAAGUUGCAGGGUAUAGACCCGAAACCCGGUGAUCUAGCCAUGGGCAGGUUGAAGGUUGGGUAACACUAACUGGAGGACCGAACCGACUAAUGUUGAAAAAUUAGCGGAUGACUUGUGGCUGGGGGUGAAAGGCCAAUCAAACCGGGAGAUAGCUGGUUCUCCCCGAAAGCUAUUUAGGUAGCGCCUCGUGAAUUCAUCUUCGGGGGUAGAGCACUGUUUCGGCUAGGGGGUCAUCCCGACUUACCAACCCGAUGCAAACUACGAAUACCGAAGAAUGUUAUCACGGGAGACACACGGCGGGUGCUAACGUCCGUCGUGAAGAGGGAAACAACCCAGACCGCCAGCUAAGGUCCCAAAGUCAUGGUUAAGUGGGAAACGAUGUGGGAAGGCACAGACAGCCAGGAUGUUGGCUUAGAAGCAGCCAUCAUUUAAAGAAAGCGUAAUAGCUCACUGGUCGAGUCGGCCUGCGCGGAAGAUGUAACGGGGCUAAACCAUGCACCGAAGCUGCGGCAGCGACACUAUGUGUUGUUGGGUAGGGGAGCGUUCUGUAAGCCUGCGAAGGUGUGCUGUGAGGCAUGCUGGAGGUAUCAGAAGUGCGAAUGCUGACAUAAGUAACGAUAAAGCGGGUGAAAAGCCCGCUCGCCGGAAGACCAAGGGUUCCUGUCCAACGUUAAUCGGGGCAGGGUGAGUCGACCCCUAAGGCGAGGCCGAAAGGCGUAGUCGAUGGGAAACAGGUUAAUAUUCCUGUACUUGGUGUUACUGCGAAGGGGGGACGGAGAAGGCUAUGUUAGCCGGGCGACGGUUGUCCCGGUUUAAGCAUGUAGGCUGGUUAUCCAGGCAAAUCCGGAUAAUCAAGGCUGAGGUGUGAUGACGAGGCACUACGGUGCUGAAGUAACAAAUGCCCUGCUUCCAGGAAAAGCCUCUAAGCAUCAGGUAACAUUAAAUCGUACCCCAAACCGACACAGGUGGUCAGGUAGAGAAUACCAAGGCGCUUGAGAGAACUCGGGUGAAGGAACUAGGCAAAAUGGUGCCGUAACUUCGGGAGAAGGCACGCUGGUGUGUAGGUGAAGCCCCUGCGGGUGGAGCUGAGACCAGUCGAAGAUACCAGCUGGCUGCAACUGUUUAUUAAAAACACAGCACUGUGCAAACACGAAAGUGGACGUAUACGGUGUGACGCCUGCCCGGUGCCGGAAGGUUAAUUGAUGGGGUUAUCCGUAAGGAGAAGCUCUUGAUCGAAGCCCCGGUAAACGGCGGCCGUAACUAUAACGGUCCUAAGGUAGCGAAAUUCCUUGUCGGGUAAGUUCCGACCUGCACGAAUGGCGUAAUGAUGGCCAGGCUGUCUCCACCCGAGACUCAGUGAAAUUGAACUCGCUGUGAAGAUGCAGUGUACCCGCGGCAAGACGGAAAGACCCCGUGAACCUUUACUAUAGCUUGACACUGAACAUUGAGCCUUGAUGUGUAGGAUAGGUGGGAGGCUUUGAAGCGUGGACGCCAGUCUGCGUGGAGCCAACCUUGAAAUACCACCCUUUAAUGUUUGAUGUUCUAACGUUGGCCCCUGACCGGGGUUGCGGACAGUGUCUGGUGGGUAGUUUGACUGGGGCGGUCUCCUCCCAAAGCGUAACGGAGGAGCACGAAGGUUAGCUAAUCCUGGUCGGACAUCAGGAGGUUAGUGCAAUGGCAUAAGCUAGCUUGACUGCGAGCGUGACGGCGCGAGCAGGUGCGAAAGCAGGUCAUAGUGAUCCGGUGGUUCUGAAUGGAAGGGCCAUCGCUCAACGGAUAAAAGGUACUCCGGGGAUAACAGGCUGAUACCGCCCAAGAGUUCAUAUCGACGGCGGUGUUUGGCACCUCGAUGUCGGCUCAUCACAUCCUGGGGCUGAAGUAGGUCCCAAGGGUAUGGCUGUUCGCCAUUUAAAGUGGUACGCGAGCUGGGUUUAGAACGUCGUGAGACAGUUCGGUCCCUAUCUGCCGUGGGCGCUGGAGAAUUGAGGGGGGCUGCUCCUAGUACGAGAGGACCGGAGUGGACGCAUCACUGGUGUUCGGGUUGUCAUGCCAAUGGCACUGCCCGGUAGCUAAAUGCGGAAGAGAUAAGUGCUGAAAGCAUCUAAGCACGAAACUUGCCCCGAGAUGAGUUCUCCCUGAGACUUUAAGUCUCCUGAAGGAACGUUAAAGACGAUGACGUUGAUAGGCCGGGUGUGUAAGCGCAGCGAUGCGUUGAGCUAACCGGUACUAAUGAACCGUGAGGCUUAACCUU